CCUGGCGGCACUAGCGCGGUGGUCCCACCUGACCCCAUGCCGAACUCAGAAGUGAAACGCCGUAGCGCCGAUGGUAGUGUGGGGUCUCCCCAUGCGAGAGUAGGGAACUGC
RNAcentral lists this ribosomal RNA (111 nucleotides) under Salmonella enterica subsp. enterica serovar Heidelberg. Lineage: Bacteria; Pseudomonadati; Pseudomonadota; Gammaproteobacteria; Enterobacterales; Enterobacteriaceae. RNAcentral also lists the same sequence under 27 other names. The record is from RNAcentral.